AGACGAAUGAAGAAACGGGGCUGAAAAGGGUCAUCGGAUUAGACUAGUUGUAUUGAAGACGCGCAAUGGUUGUUGUGGUUGGGAAGUCCACUCUGACUCCGGCGCCCUUUUUGGCCUUCCCAUGGAAAAGUUGUUCCGUUGUUGACGAGUUGCGUCGUAGGAAGCCAUGGUGCUGUAGCAGCACCAUCAGCCUCGCCGUCACUUUCUCUCUCUCAAAGUACUACCUGCUGUCUGCUCCUUCUCCAGGAUUAACUAGAGCAAUCCUCCAAGAAGACCAAGACCAAGACUACCACCUCCUCUCUCUACAAGCUAAAGAAUUGUCUUCUUCUUCUAAUUCUCAACUCUAUGUUUGCAAUCUGCCCAGAAACUAUGGCAUUUCUGAGCUUGUUGAAAUCUUUACACCUUAUGGUACUGUUCAGUCUGUUGAGGUUUCUAGGGAUGCUGAAACGGGUAUUAGUCGGGGAUGCGGUUAUGUCACCAUGAGCUCGAUCGCCGAGGCCAAUGCUGCAAUUGCUGCUCUUGAUGCCUCAGAUGUUGGCGGGCGUGAAAUGCGGGUGAGGUUUUCCACUCAAAUGACCAGGGGCAGUUCCCGUCAUAAUCUCGGGCCUGUCAAUUUGUCCACCCGACGGGAUUUCAUGUUUGAAAGCCCUUACAAGAUUUAUGUUGGCAAUCUAGCCUGGUCUGUUACACCUGCAGAUUUGAGAAACUUGUUUUCCCAGUUUGGGACUGUGGUUAGUGCUAGACUGCUCCACGAUCGUAAAACUGGAAAGACGCGUGUUUUUGGGUUUCUCUCCUUUUCCUCUGCUUCAGAGCGGGAGGCUGCUUUGUCCUUGGAUGGCAUAGAUUUCUGUAGUAGGAAACUACUGGUCAGAGAUGUUUUUUCAAAGAUUUCCUGAGUUUGCUCACCGCCACAUUUUUUUUCUGUUUCAAAUUCUCAAAGAUUUCUCAUCAGAGUUGCGAAUUUAGAAAUUGAUGAUAAUUUCCUUUAACAGACGGAGAUGGAAUUAAACAGGAGAUAGACCUGAUAUGUUGAGCUCUUCCAUAGUUGUUCUUUUACUGCUGUGGCUGCACCGCUGCAUGGUGUUAACCUAUCCAUAAUGCUUUUGCUUUCAUUAUACACAUUUUCAUAUUUAUGUUAAAAUCAUUUCCUUGCUGGUUCCCUGCUUCUAUAAUCCCUAUCAACAAAAGAUUUGUUAGAGUACCUGCAGAUUACGUUUUUGUUUUCUGUCUUGCCAGAGAAGUAUAAGUACUGAACUGUAUCUAAAUGGUCAAUGUCCUUCGUGUAACAGUGCUUCAUCUUCUCAUGCUUGUUCAGUUUCACUGAGUCAAUACCUAUAUUUUCUAGAUUCAUGAUCACGA
Molecule: non-coding RNA, 1359 nt
Organism: Coffea arabica (coffee)
Lineage: Eukaryota; Viridiplantae; Streptophyta; Magnoliopsida; Gentianales; Rubiaceae
Source: RefSeq, a predicted model, not a curated record